AGCAGCUCUCAGCACAAGGGGCAUUUUCCCACAACUCCUGCCCCAAAGCCGUGCUCCCUCUCCUCACGCUUUGUCCUCCUGCCUUCUGCCGGGAGCCCAAGUCGGGUUCUCCGCACGCUGAAGGCAUGCUGCAAACACAGCCGUGAUGCCUGGGGGGAGCUCCCUUUGCACCUUAGCAGAGGUGGGUCAGGGCCUCCAGCUCCAUCACGGCCUCACCCCUCCACUCUUCACCCCUCCAAACAACAUCCCUUUCCAACUAAAUGGUUCCUCCCUUGACCCAUCAGGAUUUUACCUGUCUUCUUAAACAGACGAACACUGAAGAGAAUUAAACCAAGUAUCAGCACUAACAGAGCCACCAGCAUCACUGCCAGAGCCACCUUCCAGGGACGGGCAUCAUGGAAGAAGGGAGCUAAGAAAGCAAAAGGAAAGGCUCGUUUUACACUUCAAGGCCUGAGGAAAACCCCAUGUUUCCCACAUGAUUAAAAACACAAGAAGAAAAGAAAAAAGAAAACCCGAAUACAGCAAAGUGCAGCUGGGUGCAGCUGUGCUCCAGGGCAGAGGAGGGCUCCAGCUGUUCCCAUGGGGUCCCUCUCCAUUGACCUCCUCUCUCUCUCUCACCACUCAGCACCACCGCUGCCAUUCAUCUCCCCUCCACACAGCUCCGAAGGGGACGUUCUCCCCCCACUCCCCGACUGACACUGCAGGGAACUCACCUGAUAUGUGCAGAGACGACUCCUUCUCUUGGCCAAGGCGGCUGUUCCUCACCACACACGACAAGUCCCCGUCUGCCUCCCCCGUCACACUCAGGCUCAGGCUCCGGGAACCAGCCGGACGAGCGACACACCACCUCGAUCCCUCUGCCCUGGUAACCCUCCAGCAAGACAAGCGGGGAAGAGCCUAUGGCUGGGAUGAAAAGAAGGUAUYCUGGGUUGAGGACCAAGAGCAUCCAGGUCAAAGGGGAAGUACUUUCCUAUGCUCUGUGUAGAUACCAUCCACAUCCCCGUCCAGCCAAGUCUGGAAGGGGCUGCAGGACCAGGCAUUCACACACCCAUGGUGAUACGCACACAAGAACCACCUGCUGUUGCAUCAGCACCUUCAGGUCCCUGCACAAAGUGCCAGCAGCCCUAAAUCUCCUGUCAUCCUCCACAGCAGAGGAAGACCAGGCUCAUGAGCUGUCAGCGUCCCAAGGCCCUCUCUGAGCACCCACACUUGUUUAGUUAACCUCAGACAUUUCCUGGCAAUGAGUCAGGUCUCCCAUUGCACAAAA
This 1267-nucleotide long non-coding RNA is filed under the name Apteryx rowi (Okarito brown kiwi). RNAcentral's name for it is "lncRNA (ENSARWG00000002888.1)". Lineage: Eukaryota; Metazoa; Chordata; Aves; Apterygiformes; Apterygidae. The record is from RNAcentral.